Molecule: long non-coding RNA, 319 nt
Organism: Galleria mellonella (greater wax moth)
Lineage: Eukaryota; Metazoa; Arthropoda; Insecta; Lepidoptera; Pyralidae
Exons: 3
Source: RefSeq, a predicted model, not a curated record
AGAAAAUGGUAACUGACGCCAAUAGAUGUGAACAGUACCAUGGGCAUAACGGAGUAUACUGGUUCGCCCAAGAUAUUCCCCAUGCGUUGCCAUUCCUGAAGACUAAGGCAGAGGCGCGGAGUCAGGCAGUGGUCGCAGUCUCCGGGGCAGUGCUGGCGCGGCGGGCGGAGGCGUGGAUCUAGCCCGACGUCUUACUGGAACUGGAGAGCAUGUGGAAGCGCUGCAGGAAGCGGCUCUUGGCCCAUCCUGGUCACCAGUGCAGGCAGCAGUUGACGCGCGCAGUCGUUGCUUGUGCCACGAACCAGCGCGCAGACCGCAC